Bombyx mori (domestic silkworm) is the source of this 84-nucleotide non-coding RNA. Lineage: Eukaryota; Metazoa; Arthropoda; Insecta; Lepidoptera; Bombycidae. The record is from Rfam.
UUAAUUCAAAUUUGUAUGGAAUUGGAACGUUUGCCUACGUUUGCCGCUAGGGGCGCUGUUCCGACUGCAUACAAAUCUGAGUUA